RNAcentral lists this non-coding RNA (203 nucleotides) under Skeletonema menzelii. The record is from RNAcentral. Lineage: Eukaryota; Bacillariophyta; Thalassiosirophyceae; Thalassiosirales; Thalassiosiraceae.
CAGCGAAACAAAAACAUGUCCGCCCUCUCCCAAGCCCAAAAAAGCAAAGGCGAUACGUUCCUCCAAGAGGCUGAAGCCACGCUGGGUAAAUCCACAUGGUUCGCAAGCUCCACUGAGCGCAAAUAUGAAGAUGCCGCUGAAUCUUUCACCCGGGCUGCCAACGCCUACAAAGUCGGGGGGUGGAAUGAGGAAGCUGGAAAUGC